GACGAACGCUGGCGGCGUGCUUAACACAUGCAAGUCGAACGGAAAGGCCCUGCUUUUGUGGGGUGCUCGAGUGGCGAACGGGCGAGUAACACGUGAGUAACCUGCCCUUGACUUUGGGAUAACUUCAGGAAACUGGGGCUAAUACCGGAUAGGAGCUCCUGCUGCAUGGUGGGGGUUGGAAAGUUUCGGCGGUUGGGGAUGGACUCGCGGCUUAUCAGCUUAUUGGUGGGGUAGUGGCUUACCAAGGCUUUGACGGGUAGCCGGCCUGAGAGGGUGACCGGCCACAUUGGGACUGAGAUACGGCCCAGACUCCUACGGGAGGCAGCAGUGGGGAAUAUUGCACAAUGGGCGGAAGCCUGAUGCAGCAACGCCGCGUGCGGGAUGACGGCCUUCGGGUUGUAAACCGCUUUCGCCUGUGACGAAGCGUGAGUGACGGUAAUGGGUAAAGAAGCACCGGCUAACUACGUG
Molecule: ribosomal RNA, 468 nt
Filed under: uncultured bacterium
Lineage: Bacteria
Description: partial 16S ribosomal RNA
Rfam family: Bacterial small subunit ribosomal RNA
Source: RNAcentral